RNAcentral lists this transfer RNA (64 nucleotides) under Heterocephalus glaber (naked mole-rat). It matches the Rfam family "tRNA". Rfam says of the family: Transfer RNA (tRNA) molecules are approximately 80 nucleotides in length. Their secondary structure includes four short double-helical elements and three loops (D, anti-codon, and T loops). Further hydrogen bonds mediate the characteristic L-shaped molecular structure. tRNAs have two regions of fundamental functional importance: the anti-codon, which is responsible for specific mRNA codon recognition, and the 3' end, to which the tRNAs corresponding amino acid is attached (by aminoacyl-tRNA synthetases). tRNAs cope with the degeneracy of the genetic code in two manners: having more than one tRNA (with a specific anti-codon) for a particular amino acid; and 'wobble' base-pairing, i.e. permitting non-standard base-pairing at the 3rd anti-codon position. The record is from Rfam by way of RNAcentral. Lineage: Eukaryota; Metazoa; Chordata; Mammalia; Rodentia; Bathyergidae.
GGGGAUUUAGCUCAGUGGUUCGGGCGUCUGCCUCGAAAGCACAUGGGCCCAAGUUCAAUCCCCG